RNAcentral lists this ribosomal RNA (468 nucleotides) under uncultured bacterium. RNAcentral's name for it is "partial 16S ribosomal RNA". It matches the Rfam family "Bacterial small subunit ribosomal RNA", at positions 28 to 507 of the family's 1533-position model. The record is from RNAcentral.
GACGAACGCUGGCGGCGUGCUUAACACAUGCAAGUCGAACGGAAAGGCCCUGCUUUUGUGGGGUGCUCGAGUGGCGAACGGGUGAGUAACACGUGAGUAACCUGCCCUUGACUUUGGGAUAACUUCAGGAAACUGGGGCUAAUACCGGAUAGGAGCUCCUGCUGCAUGGUGGGGGUUGGAAAGUUUCGGCGGUUGGGGAUGGACUCGCGGCUUAUCAGCUUGUUGGUGGGGUAGUGGCUUACCAAGGCUUUGACGGGUAGCCGGCCUGAGAGGGUGACCGGUCACAUUGGGACUGAGAUACGGCCCAGACUCCUACGGGAGGCAGCAGUGGGGAAUAUUGCACAAUGGGCGGAAGCGUGAUGCAGCAACGCCGCGUGCGGGAUGACGGCCUUCGGGUUGUAAACCGCUUUCGCCUGUGACGAAGCGUGAGUGACGGUAAUGGGUAAAGAAGCACCGGCUAACUACGUG